RNAcentral lists this ribosomal RNA (383 nucleotides) under Maydelliathelphusa lugubris. Its description in RNAcentral is "partial 16S ribosomal RNA". Lineage: Eukaryota; Metazoa; Arthropoda; Malacostraca; Decapoda; Gecarcinucidae. The record is from RNAcentral.
UCUAUUUGGGGAUAUAAAAAGUCUGACCUGCCCACUGAUAGGUAAAUUUUUAAGGGCCGCGGUAUUAUGACCGUGCAAAGGUAGCAUAAUCAUUAGGUUUUUAAAUGGGAUCUUGUAUGAAUGGUUGAACAAAAGAAAAACUGUCUUUAAUAUAAUAUUUGAAUUUAACUUUUAAGUGAGAAGGCUUAAAUAUUCUAAAGGGACGAUAAGACCCUAUAAAGCUUUAUAUUAUGGUUAUAUUUAAUUAAAUUUAAUAAUAAAAGUUUAAUUUAAUUAUUUUAUUGUGUUGGGGAGAUAAAAGUAAAAUUUAUAAUAACUGCUAUUAAAAGAGACAAUUAUAGGUGAUUAAGGGCAAUAAUAGAUCCUAAAUAAAGAUUAGAAGA